RNAcentral lists this ribosomal RNA (851 nucleotides) under uncultured Methanocorpusculum sp. Its description in RNAcentral is "bacterial SSU rRNA". It matches the Rfam family "Archaeal small subunit ribosomal RNA", at positions 78 to 934 of the family's 1478-position model. Lineage: Archaea; Methanobacteriati; Methanobacteriota; Methanomicrobia; Methanomicrobiales; Methanocorpusculaceae. The record is from RNAcentral.
UCGGCAUACUGCUCAGUAACACGUGGUUAACCUGCCCUAAGGUGGAGAAUACUCCCGGGAAACUGGGGCUAAUGCUCCAUAGUGGAUAUGUCCUGGAAUGGUAUAUCCUCGAAAGAUCCGUCGCCUUAGGAUGGGACUGCGUCCGAUUAGGUUGUUGGCGGGGUAACGGCCCACCAAGCCAUUGAUCGGUACGGGUUGUGGGAGCAAGAUCCCGGAGAUGGAUUCUGAGACAUGAAUCCAGGCCCUACGGGGCGCAGCAGGCGCGCAAACUUUACAAUGCGAGCAAUCGUGAUAAGGAAACCCUGAGUGCCUGUCGAUGCAGGCUGUUCAUAUAUCUAAAUCAUACGUGAAGAAAGGGCAGGGCAAGACCGGUGCCAGCCGCCGCGGUAAUACCGGCUGCUCGAGUGAUGGCCACUAUUACUGGGUUUAAAGCGUCCGUAGCUUGACUGUUAGGUCUCUUGGGAAAUCUUCACGCUCAACGUGAAGGCGUCUAAGAGAUACCGGCAGUCUUGGAACUGGGAGAGGUAAACCGUACUUCGGGGGUAGGAGUGAAAUCUUGUAAUCCUCGAGGGACGACCUAUGGCGAAGGCAGUUUACCAGAACAGCUUCGACAGUGAGGGACGAAAGCUGGGGGAGCAAACGGGAUUAGAUACCCCGGUAGUCCCAGCCGUAAACAAUGUGCGUUAGGUGUGUCGGUAACCACGUGUUACUGAUGCGCCGAAGAGAAAUCGUGAAACGCACCACCUGGGAAGUACGGUCGCAAGGCUGAAACUUAAAGGAAUUGGCGGGGGAGCACCACAACAGGUGGAGCCUGCGGUUUAAUUGGAUUCAACGCCGGACAUCUCACCGGA